UCAAUCUUUCUCAUUCCAAAAAUCAGACGCAAGACUACUCUUAUUCCAACAAUCUUCUCUUCGUCUCUUCAACUAGUGUAGUAAUCUCAGGAACUUUGAAUUAUAGUUACAGGCACUGUCGACCUAAAAAAGUAAGUGUAUGCUAUUUUUACUUAAUACAUUCAAUGCAUAAGCUAUUACUUUAUACGUAAUUGACAAAAAUUAUUUGUAUGUGUCAUUUGGAAUGAAUGAAGUGUUCUUUGUGUCGCUGUUAAGCGAUUUAUGCUCAUCGCAUUAGUAAUACCAUGAUAUAAUUUAUGUCAUUUAUGUUUGUCGUGCAAGCUUUGAACGAGAAAUUCUGUGCUUUUCAUUAUCUCUAUCUGGUAUCUGGUGUUAGAUCUAAAUAACCAAUGAACAAAAUUUCCUUAUAAAAAAUUUGUGAAUCAUAAUAGCUCUUUUACCUCAGCAUUAUUAAGGUAAAAGUAUCAAUUCUGGGAUGAAAUUAAGACAAUAUAAGACAUCUAAAACAUCCUCUCUUUGAACAUUCUAUUGUCAAUGAUUCAAGUGGUAUUUCAUCGUCCUUUUAAUGCCACAAGAGGCUCAUCUUUCCCUCUUCAAAGAGAUUAUAAAGUACCAUUUUUUAUUCUCAAUAUAGCCUAUAACACUAUGUUUAAUCGUGAUUGUGUGCACAUUUGCCUAGGCCUCUGCCUCGUCUCAGUUGGUAAUUAAUUUAAUUUGACAAGUUUUCAGAUAAGUUAGAACUUGAAAUUACGAUGCAAUAACAGAUACCAACUAUUGUUAAUCUGCUUGAGUACAACCUCCAAUAACUGAAAGAUGGAUAAUCACAUAAGAAAAACUACUGCCAUGUACUAAAUUCAGGAUAAAUAAAUUCACUUUCUUUCUUGGACAUAUUGACGUAUUCCUUCUCCGCCUUUAUAAGUAUACAAGGCAGCGGCUCCAGUAAAAGUUAUUUCUAAACUAAGAAGAAGUGGCAAUGACAAGGACCAAAUGAUUUUAACAGUUGAAAUAAGUUUGCUUAACAAUUUUUAGUUUUGUGUAUGUUUUAAGAGUAAACUAUUCUUUUAGGUCCCUUUUCAGUUUACCACUCUUGAACUAGAUCUUAUACUUUUCAUUUACCUUGUGUAAUUUUUAAGAACCUACUUAGCACUUAAACUUGUCCAAAUUAGAGUCUUACCCAGUUUAAAGAAGUUUUAUCCUCUCUGAGACAUCAUAUGAAGUCGGGAGUAUUUGUUGUACUACCCUGUAGGAAUUUUAAUAUGCUUUCGGAUUACUUUAAUUAUAUUGGUCCGAUUGGCAGUUUGAAAACUUUAUGUUUAUAUCGUUCAAAUAGAAUGCAAGAGUUGCAUUUUUUUUUGUUGUGGACUGUGGAGUUUUUGCUGAAGGAAGAUCAUGAUUCAACAUUAUCAUGACGGAUUAAUUUGUGAGAAUGAGAAUCUAUUCAGUUUACGAUUUCACCAUCCAAUUGCUAUAUGAAUUCCCUUCUACAUCUGAAGCUUCAGACAAAAAUAAGUUAUUUUUUCAUCAAAUGAAUUUCCUUCUACCAGAAGAACUUCAGUACAGGAAAAAAUAUUUAUUUAUAUUCUUUUGGAUUAUAUAAAAAGUAAUCUAGCUGAAAUAGAUAUGGUUUGCUCAAUAACCUCUACCAUGUUUGUAAAGCUGCAUAAGAUUUUGCUAAUAAAAAUAUAGAGCAUUAAUUAGGGUGCUCAAAGCGGAGGCAUAUUAUAGUGAAUAAUGAGAGAUUUCAUACUCGUGAAUCAUCAUAGAAUUUCUCUGUUGUGGAAUUCAAACAUCUCUUCUUUCUUUUUUUUAUCUGCAUGACUAUCCUCUGAUGAGAAAGAGUCUAAAAGGAGUGAUGAACUUCCACGUGCUGAAACAAUACCUUUGCCAUUGUCCAAUUCAGUAGAUGAAUACUGUUGGGAGUGUCCAAAUGUAUGCCUUCUACGUUUUUCAUAAUAGAUGUACUAAUGUAACUUUUAAGCGAUCGCACUUUCCCUAAUUUCAUUUGAAUUUUGAGUUUGUUA
This is a long non-coding RNA of Nicotiana tabacum (common tobacco), 2021 nucleotides long. RefSeq lists it as uncharacterized. The record is from RefSeq and is a predicted model, not a curated record. NCBI's taxonomy places the organism in Eukaryota, Viridiplantae, Streptophyta, Magnoliopsida, Solanales, Solanaceae.